RNAcentral lists this ribosomal RNA (253 nucleotides) under uncultured bacterium. RNAcentral describes it as "partial 16S ribosomal RNA". It matches the Rfam family "Bacterial small subunit ribosomal RNA", at positions 524 to 776 of the family's 1533-position model. The record is from RNAcentral.
UACGUAGGCAGCGAGCGUUGUUCGGAGUUACUGGGCGUAAAGGGUGUGUAGGCGGUUGUUUAAGUUUGGGGUGAAAUCUCCCGGCUCAACUGGGAGGGUGCGCCGAAUACUGAAUGACUAGAGUGCGGGAGAGGUGAGUGGAAUUCCUGGUGUAGCGGUGAAAUGCGUAGAUAUCAGGAGGAACACCGGUGGUGUAGACGGAUCUCUGGGCCUUACCUGACGCUCAGGUGCGAAAGCUAGGGGAGCGAACAGG